AUCUAUCACAUGGCAGAGAUAGAAUAAAAACAGAAAAAUGGCGACGGUCACGUUGUGGCGAGCCUUGCUGCGUCAUUAGAUAAUCCUCAUGCAAAUAGCGGGAAGAACAAAGGAAGGGGAGCCCGGGACCCCCGGGGGCGCAGGAUCCGGCGGGAGGAGUCUAAGAGGAGGAGGCGGCGGUGCCGGAGGAGGAGGAGGAGGGAGGGAGAAGAGAGGAAGACCGGAGUCCCCGCGGCGGCGGCGGUCCGGAGAGAGGGCGAGCCCCGCGCGGCGCCGGGGACCGGGCGCUACCACGAGGCCGGGACGCUGGAGUCUGGGG
This 319-nucleotide long non-coding RNA is filed under the name Homo sapiens (human). RNAcentral describes it as "non-protein coding lnc-JAK1-2:3". The record is from RNAcentral. Lineage: Eukaryota; Metazoa; Chordata; Mammalia; Primates; Hominidae.